Molecule: ribosomal RNA, 391 nt
Filed under: uncultured bacterium
Lineage: Bacteria
Description: bacterial SSU rRNA
Rfam family: Bacterial small subunit ribosomal RNA
Source: RNAcentral
AUUGAACGCUGGCGGCAUGCUUUACACAUGCAAGUCGAACGGCAGCACGGGGGCGAACCCUGGUGGCGAGUGGCGAACGGGUGAGUAACACAUCGGAACGUGCCCAGUUGUGGGGGAGUAACCUAUCGAAAGGUAGGCUAAUACCGCAUGAGCUCGGCAAGAGGAAAGCGGGGGACUCAGCGAUGGGCCUCGCGCGACUGGAGCGGCCGAUGUCCGAUUAGCAGUUGGUGGGGUAAAGGCUUACCAAGGCGACGAUCGGUAGCUGGUCUGAGAGGAUGAUCAGCCACACUGGGACUGAGACACGGCCCAGACUCCUACGGGAGGCAGCAGUGGGAAUUUUGGACAAUGGGGCAACCCUGAUCCAGCCAUGCCGCGUGAGUGAAGAAGGCCU